CCCGCUGAACUUAAGCAUAUCAGUAAGCGGAGGAAAAGAAACUAACAAGGAUUCCGUAAGUAACGGCGAGUGAAAACGGAUGAGCCCAGCGCGUAAUCCUUCAGGCUCUUCGCCUGUUUGGAGGUGUCGCGUAUAGGUGUAGCCUUCUGGCUUGACUGCUGCCUGAACUCCGCUGGAAUGCAGGGAUCUGAGAGGGUCUAAAACCCGUUCGGGUGGCGGUCGUGUCGGUCGGUUGCUCCUCUGGAGUCGAGUUGCUUGAGAGUGCAGCUCAAAGUAGGUGGUAUACCACAUCUAAGGCUAAAUACGAUUCUGAUUCCGAUAGCGAACAAGUACCGUGAGGGAAAGUUGCAAAGAACUUUGAAAAGAGAGUUCAAGAGGACGUGAAACCACAUGGAUAGAAACGGAUAGAGUUAACAUCACCGGCGGUGUUCAGUGCUUUUGGGUGCCAUAGCGUGCGUUGCUUCCUCUCGGGGAGGUGCGUGCGUCGUUGGAGUGCCCUUAGGUACGCUUUCACUGCUGGUAUGCGCUGAAACGCUCGGACCCCCCCUGGAACGCUCGGUGCGUGGCCCGCCUUGUGCGGUCACCAGCCCGUGGCAGUUACAGUGGAUGGGACGUCGAGUGGCUGCAAAGCCUUGUUCUGCGUGUUCCUCUCUGGUGCCUAUGCGCUGCGUUCUCGCUAUAUCGUAAGGUAUACGGGUUUGCUUCGGUGUUCGUGCUGGAGGGAUGAUUCUCGUGGGGCUUGUAUUCGGCGUCGAAACGUUGACCACCUAUCCGACCCGUCUUGAAACACGG
Molecule: ribosomal RNA, 792 nt
Filed under: uncultured fungus
Lineage: Eukaryota; Fungi
Description: eukaryotic LSU rRNA
Rfam family: Eukaryotic large subunit ribosomal RNA
Source: RNAcentral